RNAcentral lists this unclassified non-coding RNA (13230 nucleotides) under Leishmania donovani. RNAcentral describes it as "gene:LdHU3.07.1180(CDS-product:hypothetical_prote in_conserved)". The record is from RNAcentral. Lineage: Eukaryota; Euglenozoa; Kinetoplastea; Trypanosomatida; Trypanosomatidae.
UCACGUUCCAGAGGACGUUCUGUUGUCACCCUUUUUCUUCGCCUAUUAGCCUCCUUUGGUCUCUCCCCCCCACACACACACACACCGCACCUCCGCCUAUAUCUCCUGUCUGUCGGCCUGUCGGUCUCUGUCUGGACGCUGUCCCCCUUCUCUUUGCCAAGCGUCCCUCAACGCUGUUUUUUUUUUUUUUUGGCGGCCAUCACACCUGUACAGCCGCCGAGCGAUCCCCCUAUCCCGCUUCGUUCUGCGGGGGUGCCGGGCUUCUCGGAGAUUCAUCGACGCUGCCAUUGUUCGCUCUCUCUCCACCCAUUGGACCCCAUCCCUGAGCCUGCUCCCUUCCUUCCCACCACCAACUCGCCAUCACACAUCAACGCCCCCUGCCCCCAUUCCCGACUCACCACCAUAGCUACGCGGACCUGCCGUCCCUCUGGCACUCUGUCUGCCUCUAUCUGCUUUCUUCUACGCCCCACGCUGUCACACCGAUACGCGCACCGGCACCCCCUCUCUGAGAGAAGCGGUCGACAUUUUCGAGCCGACGCGCUCGAUUUGGCUUGCUCUUGUUUCGCUACUCUUUUUGCCGCACGUGUUGGACCUCGUCUGCGCACGCGCACGCGAGAGGGACACAAGCGGGAGAGGAACGUUACAGUUGCUCCACAUCACCCACCGACUCUCUUUCACCCAAACACACACACACACAUACAUACACACUGGUACCACGCCACCUCCUACCUCCCACCUCCCUCCUACUCGUACUUCUAUUUACUAUCGCCACGAGUGGCCCUCAUACUCAUACGCCAUCUCUUCCGCCGCCGCGCCCCUCUUUACGCCCUUCCUCUCUUAUCACCCUUCUCCGCUCACGUACAAGCCCACAUACACAGGGGGAGGCGACGAAGGAAAAGACGUCGCUGCACCACGAGCACGUUAAGUGGAGGGAGGACGAACAAAAAUACGGACGAGGAGCGGAAGCGAAACCCAACAGAAGAUUCACGGAGGUGCACGAAGGAGGAAAAAAAGGCAGGGGCUGCACUUUCACACACGUCCUGCACCCACUCCACUAUACACGUAGCCGGCGCAUUUCUGUAGAGUACCAUCGAGCUGACGAGCGUUCGCAAGACAUCACUCGUAUUGACCUCUCUCUUUCUCUCUGUGUGUGGCGCAAGUCUCUCGCGCCCUCCUUCUUUCUCACUCCUCUCCCUCGUCCCUCGAGUCUUCUGCUUGUCUCUUCGCCUCACCCUCCUUAACCGUGCGCGUGUUUGCUGUUUGGCGCCAAGAACAGCAACACCUCAAGGAAGGAGGCGAGAGAGGGAAACGUUAGAGCAGGGGGUAUCGUCUCUCUCUCUCUCUCGUUUUUUUUUCUUGUGUGAGUGCGCGUGUGCCCGUCAGUGUACGCGUCUUUGUGUACACAUCUAUCCCUCAUUCCUCCUUUCCUUCCUUCCCCCGGUCUCACUUUUCACAGCCAAGCAAGCACGGAGCCGAGUACAUGCUCAUAGACAAACUCGUCUCCCAUCUCUCUGUCUGUCUCUGUCGCUGUGCCUUGUUUCUACUCUCUUCUUCUGUUUUGUGUACCGCAUCUCUUUAGUUUUCGUUGGCUGUUUGCUCUUGUUGCCACCCCUCCCUUAUUUCGCCUACUUGUGUCGUUGUCUGCCGCUCUCCGUGUCUGCCUCUGUACGUCUCUUGCUCGGCUUCGAAUACACACGCUUCGCCACCUCCACUCUGCCUCCGCCCCACCCCCUCCCCCUCGUCUGUUUUCUUAUGUAUGCCUGUGCUUGCGCGUUUUGGUCAAGUGCGACUCAUCACCCCCUUUUUUGUGUCUCCUUCCCCCGCCAUCUCUCUCUCUGAGCCUCCCUGCAAGCGUCGCUGUGCGUGCACCUGCCACUUACCUGUUUUUAGCUCUUUCCCCCUUCUCUUCGCCCGCCUCUCCCCCGUCUUGGUCUUGUUUCCUUCCCCUCGUCAUUUCACUCGUGUAUGUGUCUCGCUCUCUUUCUCUCGGUUUUCACGACGCUUGCAUCUCUGCUAAGCGCCCUUCUCUCUUCCUCCUCCUCUCUCUCCACUCCCCGCUCCCUCUCGAACCCGCCGACACCCUCGCCCAGCAGCCCGGCGCCUUCACGCUGUAUCCCUCUUCCCUCUCACCGCACGCGCGCCUGCUGUCUUCGGGUGGAUUGGGGGAGGGGGACUUCUACCAUUUCGUUCGCAUAACUCUCUUUUUUUUUGUAUUUGGUCUGCCGCUUCGUUGGCGCUGAGCAGUUCUCUUUAGUGUGAAAUUUUCUUUUUUUUUCCGUUGCAUCACUGUGUGUUUCACGUUGGCUCGCUCCUCUCUCGGUCUCUUCCUUUCGUGCACGCACGCACUCUCUUUCUCUCCCCUCCCCUCACUCCCCCGCAUUCCCCCUUCUCUCUUCACUUUCUUUGUUGUCCCCCCCCCGCUGGCUGCGUCGUUUCUCUUCUUCGUUUGUAGUGUGUUAUUCUCUCUUUUAUUGCCCAAUCCUCCCUCUCUUCGUGCGUGUCUCUGCCUGUCUUUAUCUCUCUGCGUGUGACUCCCUAACCCCCCCCCCCCCCGUACUCGCCCUCCUUCCCACACGGCACCUCUCUUCUUUCCUUACAUUGGUUCUCUUCCUCCUCCUCCCCCCGCCACACACUAGCCGCGGCCUCAUUGCGAAAAGGCGCUUCACUGUUUUAUUUGUCGUUUCCACCUCUGUUAGUUCCUGGAUGCGCGUGUCUCUCUCUCUGUCCUCCCUCUCCCUCCCCCUCUCCUCCACUCCCUCUCUCUCCCUCUCGCCCAGCCUUCUGUUCGCUCCUCUUUUGCCUUUCCUUGCGUCUUCUCUUACGUUUCACGUGUCUCGUCGUCUUCUCGUCUAACUGCCUUGGCCCCCACCCCUUCCCCUCCGUCUGUCUCUCUCUCUCCACCCAACUGACAUCCUACGCCAUCCCUGUCUCCGUUUUGUUGUCCUUCUUCUCGUGAAUCGUCUUCCUUUUCGACUGCCCCGCACCGCCUCGCGACUUCUCCAGGAGGGCGCAGCAACGACGCAAGGGCUACAGCGAGUGCGGAAGAGCCCCGGGUUCCUUCCUCCUUCGCCCCCCCUCCCCCUAUUGCUCCGCCCAUCCCUCCCGCGAGACGCACGUACACGCGUGCGUACCCAGGCACACGUGGACGCGUGUCGGGGGAGGACGAGACGGCUGUGAGAAGCCCCCACAUUCACUCUCCCUUCGUUUUUUUUCCCUGGUUCGGCUCCCUUGCCUUCGACACUACACUUGGCGUACCUGUGCUCGCGCUUCCCUCUUCCCCUUCAUCUCGUUGCAUCUCUCCGCGAUUCCAUACAUUUAGCGUGCCCGCUCUCUCUCUCUCUCUGCGUGUCUCUCUCCGUAUUGCAUUACACACCUGGGGCUCACCCGCGUGCCUGUUUCCGUGCGUCUGGCUGGUGGCUGUACACUGUUGUGUAGCUGCUUUGGUUCUUGCUUGCAAUCAGCCUCCGUCACCCUCACCCCCGCUCCUCCAUCGAUCCCUCUUCUUCCCUUCGCCCAGACUGUCUUCAAACAACGGGAGAGACGCACACCUCGUAACGCAACGACACCAAGGCGAAAGAAACACACAGUGGAACGACGAAGAGCGGAGAAGGGCUGCGCACGUGCCGCCGCCGCUACUUUCCACUCACUCACUCACUUACUCGCUCUCACAUACCUUCUUUCCCUCUCCGCGCCGGUGUGCGUCGGUCUUCGCUUGACGCUUCGCCUUGAACAUUUUGGUGUGGUCUUGUCUCAAAAGGGGUACUCUCUCCUUGUAGCGCUCCCUUCUUGUGUGCUGUGUGUGCAUGUAUGUUGAGUACUGCAGCGGCGACUCGUGCGCUUUUCGUGUCCCCUCCUCCUCUUCUCUUGGUUUCUCUUCUCUCUGCGUUCAAGAGAGCUCUCUCACUCUCUCACUCUCUCCCCCCUCUCUCACUCUCUCCCCCCUCUCUCACUCUCUCCCCCCUCUCUCUCUCUCCCGUCCUUCCUUCCUUUUCCUCUUGUGAAAUUUGUUCUCAACUCCCUCACCUUUUUGUUGUUCUUGUGUGUGUGUGUGUCUCCCUCUCUUCCUCCCUCCGCCCGUUUUUCCUGUGUCUUGCUCGUCUUCUGAAUUUUCUUCUUCCUCUCUCUCUCACUCUUCGUCACUGUUUUCGAAUCGGUCAUCUCGCUAGACAUUGCCGUCACCGUCGCCAUCGCUACUCGCCCUUUCGUUGUUUGUUUUUGUCAUCAAACCUCCUUUCUUCUCUCUCUCCCUGUGUGCGUGCGCGUGCGCUCUAUCCCUCCCUUCUCGCCCUCCCUCUUCUCUCUUCCACUCUUCUUGUCGUCGUCCUUUGUUUUUGCUUUUUCCUGUUGCUGUGAGGCGUCGUCGUCUUCCCGAGAACACGCGCAAAGGCCGGGGGUGCGCCUCCCUCAUCUCUCUCUCUCCAUCUCCCUCCUACUCUUGCUGCUGCUGUGCCUCCUCGCACUGCCGCGCUCGUGCGUGCGCGCAAAAACACACGCGCACACACAUACACACAAAAACUUGCCGCUAAAUUUGUUUUAAGAUUUUGAUCUUGCGCGCCCCCUCCCGCUUUCUCUCCACUCCCUGCCUCUCGUCAACCACAGCUUACCUAUACAUACGUGUACACACGUUCUCCGGCGCCGAUACGCUCGCGAACGCAUACGCAACCAUACGCGCGGCCAGCUCAUCCCGAGCGAACGGGAGAACAGGAAAGGCGCAGCUGAAAGAAUCACAAAAGAGGCGCUCGGGGCUCGCGCGUCCUACAGAUACUUCACAGGCUUCUUAUACAAGUUAGAUUUCCAUUUUUUUUUUCGCUUUCCCUUCCUAGUCUCACGGUUGCCGUUGCGCCGCCCUUUCCUCCCCUUCCGCGAUUCUUCGUGCGAGUCGCCGGCCUUCGUCGCCUAUCGCGCUCUUUCUCUCUCCCCUAGAUCUCGUGUGCUGUACGAGUGCUGCACCUGCGCUGCUUUACUCCUCGUCUACUCCGCCGCUCCUUUAGUCUUUAUCUUCACAGCCCUCCCUCCCCUCCCUCCGGACACCCCUUCCGUUACGACAAUCACGUCGUGCAUCCUUCUUCGCCUUGUUGUUUCGCGGCCGGCUCGUGCACAGAAAUUCCGUCUUUACAAGGGAUCUGCUGCUACACGUGCGCGCAGCUUUCAGCGGAGAGAUCACCCUCUCCUCUCCCCUUGAUCUCAGUCCUGUGCCCUCCUCCUCCCCCUCCUCCCUGUCUUUUUCCCCUUGUUCGUGUUUUCUGUGGUUGCCAUUCUUCCGUCGGCCGGGUCAUCUGCCGCAGCGGUGCGUCUCCGCCCUCCUUGUGUGGUUGUGUGCGCGAGCUGCCGUUGCACUCUAUACACACACCCACGAGAGAGGCAACCGUUUGUGUUUUCCCUUUUCUCCUCGGCGUGCGCGUUGUCUUUGUGGGCCUCUCUCUGUCUCUGGUUGGGCUUGCGAUCGGGUAGUUGUGUGGGCGUUGCUGCUGUGGUUGUGUUUGUGGUGGUGGCUGUGGGUCUGCGUCUUGCCCCUUCCCCCCUCCCUCCGUUAGUUUCUUCCUCGAUUUCUUGUUUCCCACGGCCUCCUCCCCUCAACCCCUGCCUCUGUCUUUUUCUCUCCAUCGCUUCCCCGCGCCCUUCUUCUUGUUUCCAUCUCCCCCCUCAGAGUCGUUGGCAUUCAUCGAUAGAAGUCCAUGCAAGGACAGUGACGCCCCUCUCUUUAUUUCACUCUCGCUCCUUCUCCGCUCUCCGCUCGUGCGGUGACGAGGAACAGCAGCAGCAAGGUCAGCAAGCGUGUGUGCUUGAGGACUCUGCCUGAGCGGAGCAGAUCAUCUCCACCACCUUUUUCCCCCUUUCUCGCCACCCCCUCCCCUUUCCUUUCUCUGUCUACCUCUUCUCGCACGCGUAGAUCCGCAGUGGGCUUGUUUUGCUUUUCCCCGCCCCUCCCCCCUCCUCCCCUCUUCCGUUUCGUCGAUUCUGGUUUCCGUGCAGCCUUCCUAUCCGUGUCGUGCCUCUCUCUCUCGCUCGCUUUUCAUUCGUCCAGUAUAGACGCCUGUGCCGCUGGGCGGUCUUUCUGGCCCUGGCGCUCUCCUCGUGUGCGCGUGAGUACGCGUUUCUUUGGCGCUGCUCGCUGUCUUACGGCUUGGCUCGGGUGCAACGAUCUCCUGACCGUCUGCCAGCCACUCUCUGCGCGGCUCUUCUCUCUCCCACUGCGGUUCCUCCCUCCCUGCCUUCCUUCCUCUUUUUUUUUUCCUCUCUGCGCGUGCGCGCGCACCUGUCGCUUUCUAUCUCUGUUACUUGGGCAGGCUUCACUGUGUCGUGCGUCGCUUCUCCGUCCCCACUCUUCCCACUUCAUUGAGCCUCCAUUGCUUCCGAGCAAGGCUGGAGCAUCUCCGCCUACGGGGGAGGGUCACCUUCGCUCUUUCUCUCUCUCCCGCGCACUUCGUGACAUCUUUCCGUGGGUUUAAAGAGCUCUUGUCUGUUUCGCUGUCCUCUGGUUGCGUAACGUCUCUCAGUUGCAGUGCAGUCGCCCACGCGCACGUUCUCUCUUCUCGUUUUUUUUUGGAUUUGUUGUUGUGAAGUCGACUCGUGGGUCCACGUGUGCAAUUUCGUGAAAGGGACGCAUAGACGCAUUUGCUAUACAGGGGCGGACGCACCCUCUGCCAGCCCCCGUGCUUCCACUUGUGUCUGUCUGUCAGCUUUUCUGUUUGCAAGGGCUUCGUCUCCAUCCCCUCCUUCCCCUCCUCCUCCUCCUCCCUCCUCCUUUUUCUGUUUUUCUUCGCUUGCUUCCUUGAGUGUUUUCUCGUGUUGUUGUUUGAUAUCUUUACACAGACUCUCUCUGUCUGUUUUGUGAGCGCGCGCGUGUUCGUGUGGAAUCUUUCCUUUCCCUCCGCAAAACGUGAGCUCCGCUGUACUGAAACGCAUCCAGUCAAGCGCAGCGCUUUAUUAUAUCACAUUCUCGCCUCCUCCGUUGCCCUUUCCCAGCCAUCCUUUACCGCCUCCGCCCCCACCUCCCUCGCUCUCCCUUGUUUCUUCGCCUUCUUGUGCGUUUUUUGUUGUGUGCCGCUGCCCGUUGUGUUGUAUGUCUGCAUCUGUUACAGUGGCCCCGUCUACCGUUUCUUCUUGCCUCCUCCCUCUCUACGCAUACCCCUUCCCCCUUCCCCCUUCCCCACCACACACACACGUACCAAUACGCGCCGUCUCUGCGCUCUCUUCCCCCUCUGCCUCUCUCCACUACCAUCUCCUCAGGACUUCUUCGUCUGCUUCGCUUACCUGGGCCGAUUUCCAUUGUCCGUGCCAUCUUGUUCUCCCUCUCUCCCUCUCUCUUUUACGUCUCUUGCGCAAGUAUCGCUGCGUGUUGUCUGUGCCUGUGUGUGUCACCGUGACAGCGCCUGCGUACGAACCACUUGCUUUUUGUUUUCCCUUCUGUCUGUCUCAGUCUGCCUGUCUUCUCGGUCUUCUCUUGUUUCUGUGUCGUGCCCGUUGACGCCCUGCCCUGCCCUCCCCCCUCCACCGCGCGAUCUCUUCUGUCUGCGUCUGUCUGCGUGUGUCUGUGUCUGUCCGUAACUUGGGCUUCCUCCUCCUCUCUUCUUGUCCCUUCGGUUGUUGCUCUUCCUUCUUCUUUACUGGCUUGGGUCUGCCAGAAGACACAACGGCGUGCGCGUGUGGUGUGUGUGCUCUCGUUGUUCGGGCCAUCUCAUCUGCAGGAUCUGUUAUUCUUUCUCUUCUCUCUGCACUUGUGCGUGUGCCUGUGCGUGGUUGUCUCUUCCGCCCUCCCGUCUUGUUCUCGCUAUUGGUUGUCGCCUGCUCUCGUUCGCCGGCUGCUCUGCCUGUGUGUGUGUGUCUCUCUGUUUUUCCUCGCCUUUUCAGUGUUGAGUUGCCAACGAUCCUCCGAACCACGCCCACGCCCACGCACACGGACAUCUACACACACACACACACCCGACGCACACGCCCUCGGGCACAUACACGCCCCCCUCCCACUCGACAUCCCCCGCCUCAUCAUCUCUGCGGGGUUGUCUUUGUAGCACCAUCACUUUUCUGUCCUUGUCUAUCUGUUUCUCUCCCUGCCCCUCUCUCGCUCUCGCUUCUGUGAAAGUCCGCAGCGGCGGCAGCGUCGUCACCCAGUGCGCAAGUCAGCAGUGAGGUAUAACCCGCCCUCCCCCUCUGUUGCUCCACAACGAGCCUUUAAAAAGCCGCUUAAAGUGCGCUCGCCUUCCUCGCUCUUCAUUCUUUCUGCUCGUGCCUAUUGUGUGUAUUGUGUGUCUGGGCCAUCUUAACGUGCUUCUCUCGGCGCUUGCGGCCCCCCUCCCCCUUUCCCUUCCUUCACCUGCCCGAACGCCGUUCCUCGUCGCCUCUCUCUCGGUCUCCGUCUCGACUUCUCUCUUGCGCACUUGCGAACGGUUUUGCUACAAGGCGCGCGCGUGUCUGCAUCUGCGCGGGUCUUUGCUCUCCCCCUCCGCCUCCUGCUGAUCUCUGGCUCUUCCUUUCUUUCCUAACGCACCCGAGAGGGCCGCGCCAUGUACACCAUUUCGUCCGAUGCGGUGGACGAGUCGACCACCGCGUUCGAGUGGCGCGUGUGGGGCUCUGACUCGAGCGCCUCCACCCCCGUGGUGCCGCUCGGCGGUGUCAGAGACGCCUCACUGCGCUCCACGACGGCAGCGACCAUGCCGGUCGCGUCGUUCUGGGGCGACUCCCGUGAUGAUCGAGGCGCCGCCGCCGCUGCCGCUUCCACAACGUCGCCGUUGACUUCUUCCACCUUGUGGUCGUCGGUGACGGUGGCGAACAACAUGCGUGGCACCAGCAACGCCGCAUACAAGGGCACACGCGCCCCCAGUGCUGCGACCACGCCAGCUGGACUGGUGGCGCUCAGCAGCGAGGGUAAGCGCAUACCGUCGCAGAAGUCGUCGGCCGUGCCGGCAGACCUCAGCAGUCACUCAGAGCGCCCCAACGGCGACAUUGGGGGCGGCACUAGCGUUGGCACCUUCAAGUACACAGCCGCGUCGUUGGCGGUGGAGCCGCCGCAUUCAACGAUGCCCACCACCUUUCGCGACAGCGAUGACGGAGACGAUGAAGCUUUUGAUAUCAUCAAGGAGAGCAUCAAGCGCCAGCUCGUCAGCAUCGAGGAGGAUGAGCUCGUCAGUGAGACAGCGCAAGACAACUUAGCGGCCGCUUUACGGCAGACACUUCAGCCGCAGCCGCAGCCGCAGCCGCAGCCGCAACAGCAUCGCUUCUUAACAGUGCAGCUGCGGGGCGGCGCCGCCAGCGAGGCUGCCGGUGCGCGUCGGAGCGGCGACGAUGAUCGCAUAAUUCACAUCACUAGCGCUGCUACACCCCCUGCUCCUCGGUCGGCUGCUGCAGCUCGGCAAGGGGAGAUAAAAACGAUCCGUUGCUCUUCUUCGCCCGUGUCGGUCGUGGAGCAGCUCGCUGCCAUCAGCAUUGGCCAGUCAUCCGUGUCCAAGGUAAGUGUGCCUCUCACCAGUGCAAGCGGUGGCGACGCGAAGGGUUUUCGCUCGAAGCCACCUUCAUCGCUCCCACAGUCUCCCCAGGCACCCGCCCAGAAGGCCGCGCAACUGACAUCCCAGCAGUCUUCCGAGCAGCCGCUGCCGCAGCACCACGAGCCGCAGCAGCAAAGAGCUCCGGCUACGGUGCACCCGCUCAAUGCUGCGGCGUCACGUGCGACGCUCUUUGAGCAACAGCGCCAGCCCUCGGCAAACGGCGUUGGCGGCACGGCCUGCGGCGCGAGCCCCCGCGCAGAGGCGAGCAUCCACGCCGGCGGUCUACGCAUCCCACUUCCAACCCCCGGUGCCCGUUCGAUGGGUGGCAGAAGCGGCUCUGGCGAAAUCGCUGCCGUGCAAAUCUCCACCGAGGCCGCAAGUCGUACCCCCUUUCACAUGGACCCAAGCCGAGACAUCGGCAGCGGUGCGGCGACGGCGACGGCGACCGCGAGGUCCUCGGCAACGUCAACGACGGCCUCAUCGUCCUCGACGUCGACAACGCUGCAGAGCGGCCGUUUCUCCUCUGAGCGCUCGUCGUCGUCCAAGGAAGAGCCAGCCAGUUCAGGCCACCACUAUCAGCAGUAUCCCCGUCAGCUUCUCUCAGGUUCGUCUGUGACGCAGCUCAGACACGGCCGGCAUCCGCAUCAACACGAAAUUCCGGCACUGCAGCUCGAGGGUUUACAAGAGCCAUAUCCCACGAAUAGCCAACAGGAGUGUCUUCAGCAUAAAGGCACACAGCAGCAGCAGCAAGAGCAACCGCCAGCGCCGCCGCCGCUGACACCACCCCCACCACCGCCGCUGCCGCAGCAGCAGCGUGUACAGGCCUCGUCGAUGAUGUCGUUUCAGGGUGGCCCAAGGCUCCCCAACUUGCCACCACACCUCCAGCCACAGCCGCUCACGCAAGCGCAGCAGCAAUCCCAUCUUCAGCAUCCGCUACCGCAGACACAGUCUCAACAGUCGCAGCAACAGCAGCUUGGAGUGUCUGCGUCGUCUCCUUCAGCGGCCAUGAUGUCUGGCAAGAUCUACGCCGCCACUCCGCAUGGCCGGCUGAUCUUGCUCACCCCUGACGGCGUACAAGCACCACAGGUGCAGCUGCCUCAGCACUCACUGCCGCCACCACCGCCACCGCCUCCGCCACCGCCGUCGACCGCCACCAGCUCGGCGCUCACUGGCAACUACGUCACCGCCAGCAACUACUCUGCUCUCUUCUGCCGCAACAACCCACUGCACUCUAUGCGUUACCCCGGCUCUCAGCCAGAGAGCGCGGGGCGGCUGGCGGGUGAGGCGGUUCGUCCCAAGGAUGAGAAGGGCACCGCGGCGACCCCCUUCAGCAGCUCAGAGCGUUCCGGCACCCAGGCGUCCAACACGACUGCCAGCUCUGCGGCAUCAGAGAAGGAUGUGCCGACGAGCCUCAACGCAGGACAGAGCCGCGACGACGCUGCGGUGAACCACGCCGAGACCCGUGCCUCGGUGGCCCCCGCAGUGGCCACUGCUGGCAGCGCGAGUGCCGAAGCACCGCCUCUUCCGGCCGCCCGUUCAGCUGCUGCGACUGGUGCAUCGUCGGCAACAGUCAGCGGUAGCGGCGGUGCGGCAGCGCCUGCGGGUCGUGGCAGUCAACCGCCCACGGCCUCUGUAGCGCCGCUUCUCGUCCGAAACUCCCACGGCGCCUCCGCCGGUGAGCUUGCGCAGCGGCUUGGCAGCCACCCCAGCAGCAGCAGCAGCAGCAGCAGCGCGAAUGGUUGUGGCCGGCCCCUCCAGCUACCAACGUUCCCAACACGCGAGGACAUCAGCAUCACCUCGUCCGCGGGUGGCGCCGACCACCCGAACCUCAACGCAGCACCGGUUUCAACAUCGUCUAGCAACGGCGCCGCCAUGUCGCCUCUCUCGAGAGUGCAACCGAAGCUCGUCGAUUCUGACCGAAAUAUUGGGCUGAGCGCGACGAACACUCUCACGCUGCCACCGAGCAGCGUCAAGGCAGACGGCAGCAGUGCGCAGAUUGCCGUGCCUGCGAACGGCAGCGGCACCGCAGCGACCGGCUCUCAAGGAGGUGCGGUAGCAGCGGAACUGAUAGGGCCGAGCAACAACGCUCUGGGCAACUCCAGCACCUUCGCACACCUCCCCACGGGGCUCAAGCCGCACGACAGUGGCCUCGGCGCGGAUGCCACAGUCGCCAGCAACAGUGGCUAUGCUGCCCACUUUACGCAGUCGGCAUCACAGCCUGCGCUUUCGGCCCCUGCGUCUUCCGCAUCAUACAGCCCACUGACAGCACUCGGCUCAGCAAACGGCAGCGGCGCCGCCAAGUGCAUCUCGACGCAAGCGCUGUUUCGGCAGGAGCCGGCCGGCAACAGUCGCCUCGCAUCGCGCGCGGACCUUUUUGCACAGGCUGCGAAGCCCGCCUGGCCAGACACCGUCUCUUCACCGUCCAAGCAGGGCCCAGCUGGGGCGCCACCGCUGCCACAGCGACAGCCGCCACAGCUGCAGCCGUCGCAGCAGCACCAGCAGCUCUACAUGCAAGGGCUUUCUCCUCCGCCCUCGACACUGCACUCCCCCCUCGGCGGCCGUCUCCACGCCGCUGCCGACGACUCUGUCGUCGUGACGAUCCCUGUCACGGGCGGCGACGGCACCAUCACGGCAGCUGUCAUCGCAGUGCCGUCUCCAUUCUCGUACACUGAGGCCGGGGUGCAGCAGUACUGCCUCGGAGCUCUACAGCAGCAACAUCCACAGCAACAGCGACCGCGCCCGCCGCCGCAGCGGCAUCCCUUGCCGCCGCCUCCGCAACAGCAGCACUUUCAUCAUCAAGGCGCACCAGCAAAGGAUCAAUCCACUGCAAGCUGUGCGGGUGAGGAGGCGGAGUGGCGGCGGAAGCAGGAUCUGAUCACGCUGCAGCUCGAGCAGCAUCGCCAGCGGCUCGAAAACGAGCUUCGGCAAGUGCAGCUGCAACAAGCGCAGCAGCAGCAACAGCUGCAGCACGCGCAGCACCAUCAUAGCCAUCACCACCAACACCAGCAACAGCAGCAGCUACGGUAUCAGCAGUCUCUGCUGCCGGCACAGACAACCAUGGUCACGAUUGACGGAUGCCUCUACCGCAUGGUGUCGGCCUCCUCAGCAGAGGCCUACGUGAACCGCGGCCAGCCGUGCCGUGAUGUGCACUUUGUGGACAGAGACGCUCUUGCCAGCGACGGCUCCGCGGGGGCAGACGGCCGCACUGAGGCUGCAUCUCUUCAACCGAGCAAUCACCCCGGUGUGUGUAUGCCCGUCUCCCCGCAAGCCCAGCUAUCACCACAACAGCAACAGCAACCCAUGAUCAUCACCGCCGCGGGUGAUCGGAGUGCUUUAGGUGAGGCCACCUCGGCGGCGGCGGCGUCGCUCGCGAAGUCAUCUACGCCUGGCACUAACGUUAUGCUGAUGAUGCCGACGCCGUCUGCCUCGCACAAGGCGCAGUACGGAUACUAGAGACGCUCCGCUUGCCUUCGUUGUCCUGCGCGUGCGCCGCGCACGGAGAGGAGGAGAGACGACAGUGAAGAGUCUGGACGGCGAUGGAGGCGUACCGUCAAGCAGUGCAACCGCCCACAUCGCUGCUCUCAUCGUUCUCUCACCGUUGUCGUACUGCUGCGGCUACUCGUGCCGCUUCCAUGUGACCCUCCUCCCCUCCUCCCCCCUUCCCCCCUCCCCUUCCCCCUCUUUCCCCCUCGUUCCUGCCCUCUGUGUCACCUUCGGGGUUCUCUCUUGCAUGCCUUGUUGACAUCGCUAG